AACAGCUUGGUGUAAUGGUGCACACUGGAGUUAUAACAUGACGUGUAGAAUCUCCGGAGGGGUCGGUUCGAUUCCGGCAGCUGUAA
This is a non-coding RNA of Ustulina deusta, 86 nucleotides long. The record is from the annotation of a GenBank genome assembly. NCBI's taxonomy places the organism in Eukaryota, Fungi, Ascomycota, Sordariomycetes, Xylariales, Xylariaceae.